CACUGUCCUGUGUGUAGGGUGAUUCUGGCUGCAGAACGGGCAGGGGCCCGAGACGUGGGGGGCGCACUGCCACGACAGCUGUUGCUGUUUCUGAGGAAGCGUCCCUCCCUUUGCCUGCAGUGUCACUCAUUCACUCCUUCCUCCUUAUCCCCCCAGGCUCCCAGAGGCUGGAUACACAUGCCACCACCUCCCUGAAGCACCCCCCCCUGGGGGGCUGGCAUCAGCUGCUCUUUCCAGAGGGCAAGGUUGUUAGUUCCUCAUCAUGACCGGAGCUGUAGUCACGCGACCCCGAGCACACAGGACACAGGGCUGCAGGCUUGCCAGGACAAUGGGCAGAGCCUAUGCCAGAGAACCCGGCUGUCCUUUCUAUCAUUGCAGCACCCUGUCACACUGCGUUUUCAGGAUCACGAGAGUCAGCCUCUCCCAGGAGCCUGCGUUGUCCAGGGAGGACUGGCACCGAGUGCCCAGAGGGGGCUGAGCUGAGCUGAGCUGGGACCUAAGUGCCUAUGAGAGGCCAGAUGCCAACAAGCUAGUAGGAGCUUUACGAUUGCAUCUGUACCUGGCCUGUUUCCACUGGACAGCACUGGUCUAGACGGUGAGCACAUUGUGAGAGUACCCCCCGCUGCCCAUGCGUGCCCGCCCUGGAGCUGGAGCUUCCUCGAUUGUGGAGCUGACACCCAGCUGCUUAGGUGGUUGUGGAAGGAGCCCUUGGUGGAGGGUAGCCACAGUGUCCCCAUAGACAAAGGCUGGUGGUCCAGGGCCGUAAGCCUCUGCCCCUCCCUCCUCCAGGGCAUAAAGUAGCUGUAGUAGGUGUGGCUUAUAAGUGGACGUUUGUAAGACGGUCCCGCUCCACACCAGGUGCUCUGCUCAGCCCCCGACUCUAGUCCUCAGUCCUGGGCACCGAGGCUGGGGGCUUGGCAGGGGGCCUGCUUGACUCUGCCUGGAGAUAGGAAGGGGCUGCCUCCGUGAGACAGGUCUGGCUGGAUGGUCCAGGCCGAAAGCACGUGAGGGCCUCGGAAGUGGAAAGAGUUGGCAGACAGGACUUCGGAAGAGGCAGCCAUGCAGCUGAGGAGGUCUGCGUGGAGAGGAAGGAGGCAUCAGUUCCUUCAGGAGACAGCAGAUCUGGGGGCGGAGAUAGCUGGUGUUUGAGCGUGUUCUGUGGCACCUGUCAGUGUGCGUGUAAGUCGGCUGGCGGGGUGUGGCCAGGCCUGGUACGAGGAGAGGGAGGCAGCUCCGGGAGGGCGCAGCUGGGGUACAAAGCCAGACCCAUUAGAUCCUCCCAGACUCCCGGGAGGCCUUGCAAGAGAAAAUCCACAUCCAGGCUGAGCUUGGUGAAUGUCCCCACCAUCAGCGUCGUCAUUGGCACGAGCAUGGCACUGUCUCAUCCCUCGUCUCCAGUGUCCGCAGACGUGCCUGGCACCCAGCAGGCCUCAGAGGUCUUUUGUUCCCUUUAUCGCCGAGCCAAGUACUAAACAUAUAAGGUGACACUAUAAGUGACAGGAGGGUCGUAGAAAGCACCAGAAGGGCACGGAUUCCACACCAGUCGGGCCACAGAGAAUCAGAGCCACGGGACUAAGUGAGUAGUAUUCUGUUAGCUGCAGCAGGGCUCCGGAAAAACCCGAGAGACCUCUCACAAAACCACGCACUCGUUGGCUGAGCCCCUACCGCGUGCCCCGCACGGCUAGGAGCUGGGAGUGUGGCCGCGGACCAGCAGGCCAGGCCUCCGCUCUUAGGGGGCACAGACUCUGGACAGCUGCAAAUGUGCCCCCGGGGCUGGGGGGCACCGUGCGGGCACCUGACAAGGCCUGGUCCCACCUGCUGCUGACACGGCAGAGCUAGGGAUGGCGGAAAAGAGCACUUGUGGCUGAGGCAAACAGAAGCUUCUGCAGCGGCAAGGGGCAGAAACCUGGGAAGUGGGAGAUGGGGGGGGCGGGUGCCGGCUGUGCAUCGCCGGGGGCUCUUCGGGCCCUGCACGUGAUCUCUGGAAGCACGGGAGCUCUCAGGGACUCCCCAGCAAGAAUGCCAUCGUCCACUUAGCUUCCCCUGCCCUGGCUCUGGCAAGGUGCUAACGAGAGUCGGGAGCCCAGGAGACAGCCUUGGGCCCCUGGGGGAGCAGUGAGGCUGCUGGGCCGGACUGGUGGGGAGAGCUGGACGUCGGGUGACUCUCAAGGGCAGGACCCGGUCCUCUCGCUGCCAGCUGCGUCUGCACCCCUCCCUGCCGCCCUGCACAGCACCAGCUCUCCUCACGUCAGACAAAGGAUCAAAUAAGACAGGAAGGCGAGAGUCCUGAGCAUUGGUGGCGAUUACAGGGACGGACUUGGAGGCCUGGGGGAAGACAGAAGGGUGGAGCGUGGAAGAGGCCCGGAAUGCCCAUUGCCGAGUGCAGGCUGGCUGCGGCCGGUCCUGAGCAGCCGCGUUCCUGCCCGAGAAGUGACGCGGCUGAGCGACGUGGGCUCUGUGGGUCCUCCCAGGCCACAAAUGGUUAGGAGAACGUGGACCAGGAGAAUCACGUGGCCCUGGCUCAGAGAGGUGACACCUGGGGAAAUCACCUGCCUCUUUGGACCUCAGCUUUCUCAUCUGUAAAAUGGGAUAGCGCAGUGGCGGGGUGACUGGGCGGCAUGUGCAUUGCAGACAUCACUGGUGGAAAUCCCCAUGGGGGCCACCUGCUUGCCACGGCGGGCACUGGCAGGAUGCUGCCAGCAGGGGGAGGCAGAGAGCCGCCUUCCAGUCCUAGGGUUUCCGGGUGCUGGCAUCUGGGACACGCCGGGCUCCUGUAGCAUCCGGCCUGGGUGCAGCAGGAUGAAAGGUUUGGCUCCGCACAUCGCCCCUAGACUGCGGCCCUCUCCAGGGGCUUCUUCAUCUCUGACUCCCCCUGCCCCACCCACCCCUCCAGGACUGGGGUUGAGUCUCCCGAACACAGCAGGUGUUCCGUAAAUCCUCCGCGAGUCGAAUUUAAUGGGACAACAGAAAACGUGUAUUUUUCGAGCUCUGCGCUCAGUGAUCUAAUCCGCAGCUACGGGGGCCAGAAGGCGUUGUUUUCCGUCAAGAACGCCCGUAUUCCACACCGUCCUGUCCCCACGAGGGGCGCUGGUACCUGGUGAGGGCCUCGGCCAGGUGUGCACCGCCCGCUUUCCGUUGUCCAGACAAGGAAAUAAGGUAGAGAAUAAGUAGCUUAAGGUUA
Leopardus geoffroyi (Geoffroy's cat) is the source of this 3181-nucleotide long non-coding RNA. RefSeq lists it as uncharacterized. Lineage: Eukaryota; Metazoa; Chordata; Mammalia; Carnivora; Felidae. The transcript is spliced from 2 exons. The record is from RefSeq and is a predicted model, not a curated record.